Molecule: non-coding RNA, 148 nt
Filed under: Homo sapiens (human)
Lineage: Eukaryota; Metazoa; Chordata; Mammalia; Primates; Hominidae
Source: Rfam by way of RNAcentral
GCUGGGCGUGGUGGUGCAUGCCUGUAAUCCAAGCUACUAGGGAGGCUGAGGCAGGAGAAUCGCUUGAGCCCAGGAAGCAGAGGUUGCAGUGAGCCGAGAUCACGCCACUGCACUCCAGCCUGGGUGACAGAGCGAGAGUCCGUCUCAA